This 344-nucleotide unclassified non-coding RNA is filed under the name soil metagenome. Its description in RNAcentral is "partial contains 5.8S ribosomal RNA, internal transcribed spacer 2, and large subunit ribosomal RNA". The stretch from base 2 to 121 matches the Rfam family "5.8S ribosomal RNA", at positions 35 to 154 of the family's 154-position model. The record is from RNAcentral.
GGAUGAAGAACGCAGCGAAAUGCGAUAAGUAAUGUGAAUUGCAGAAUUCAGUGAAUCAUCGAAUCUUUGAACGCACAUUGCGCCCGCUAGUAUUCUGGCGGGCAUGCCUGUCCGAGCGUCAUUUCAACCCUCAAGCCCCCGGGCUUGGUGUUGGGGAUCGGCGAGCCUCCGCGCCCGCCGUCCCCUAAAUCUAGUGGCGGUCUCGCUGUAGCUUCCUCUGCGUAGUAGCACACCUCGCACUGGGAAACAGCGCGGCCACGCCGUUAAACCCCCAACUUCUGAACGUUUGACCUCGGAUCAGGUAGGAAUACCCGCUGAACUUAAGCAUAUCAAUAAGCGGAGGA